This 427-nucleotide ribosomal RNA is filed under the name uncultured bacterium. RNAcentral's name for it is "partial 16S ribosomal RNA". It matches the Rfam family "Bacterial small subunit ribosomal RNA", at positions 354 to 796 of the family's 1533-position model. The record is from RNAcentral.
GUGAGGAAUCUUCCACAAUGGGCGAAAGCCUGAUGGAGCAACGCCGCGUGAAGGAUGAAGGUCUUCGGAUUGUAAACUUCUUUUAUGAGUGAAGAAUAUGACGGUAACUCAUGAAUAAGCACCGGCUAACUACGUGCCAGCAGCCGCGGUCAUACGUAGGGUGCAAGCAUUAUCCGGAGUGACUGGGCGUAAAGAGUUGCGUAGGCGGUUAUGUAAGCGAAUAGUGAAACCUGGUGGCUCAACCACACAGACUAUUAUUCGAACUGCAUAUCUCGAGAAUGGUAGAGGUAACUGGAAUUUCUUGUGUAGGAGUGAAAUCCGUAGAUAUAAGAAGGAACACCAAUGGCGUAGGCAGGUUACUGGGCCAUUUCUGACGCUAAGGCACGAAAGCGUGGGGAUCGAACAGGAUUAGAAACCCUAGUAGUCC